Heterocephalus glaber (naked mole-rat) is the source of this 144-nucleotide small nuclear RNA. Its record names the gene U2. It matches the Rfam family "U2 spliceosomal RNA". From Rfam's summary of the family: U2 is a small nuclear RNA (snRNA) component of the spliceosome (involved in pre-mRNA splicing). Complementary binding between U2 snRNA (in an area lying towards the 5' end but 3' to hairpin I) and the branchpoint sequence (BPS) of the intron results the bulging out of an unpaired adenosine, on the BPS, which initiates a nucleophilic attack at the intronic 5' splice site, thus starting the first of two transesterification reactions that mediate splicing. Lineage: Eukaryota; Metazoa; Chordata; Mammalia; Rodentia; Bathyergidae. The record is from Ensembl.
AUCGCUUCUCAGCCUUUUGGCUAAGAUCAAGUGUAGUUUUGGGGUUUUGUUUGUUUGAUUUUUGGUGUUUUGAGACAGGGUCUUGCUAUAUAGUCCAGGUUGGCCUUGAACUCACUAUGUGGCCCAGGCUGGCCUUGAAUGCAC